UACGUAGGUGACAAGCGUUGUCCGGAUUUACUGGGCGUAAAGAGCGCGCAGGCGGUCGAUCAAGUCGAGUGUGAAAGCCCCCGGCUCAACUGGGGAGGGUCAUUCGAAACUGGUCGACUCGAAGGCAGGAGAGGGUAGUGGAAUUCCCGGUGUAGUGGUGAAAUGCGCAGAUAUCAGGAGGAACACCUAUUGCGAAGGCAGCUCGCUGGGACGUAACUGACGCUGAGACGCGAAAGCGUGGGGAGCAAACAGG
RNAcentral lists this ribosomal RNA (253 nucleotides) under uncultured bacterium. Its description in RNAcentral is "partial 16S ribosomal RNA". It matches the Rfam family "Bacterial small subunit ribosomal RNA", at positions 524 to 776 of the family's 1533-position model. The record is from RNAcentral.